This is a long non-coding RNA of Lotus japonicus, 940 nucleotides long. RefSeq lists it as uncharacterized. The record is from RefSeq and is a predicted model, not a curated record. The transcript is spliced from 2 exons. Lineage: Eukaryota; Viridiplantae; Streptophyta; Magnoliopsida; Fabales; Fabaceae.
CAUAAUGAGGGGGAUUCCGUUUACACCUGUGUGAGUCUAAAACUCUCACACUAAUUAUUGUCCAUUGAUCAAAUUUAAAUCUAAUGGUCCCAAAUAAUUUUAAUUAGUAGGUCAUGUGAUUUUCUUUUACUCUCCCCCCUUUUCAAUUGCAGUUACCUCUAUCCUCCCACCACUGCUCAACCCAUUCUCUGCAUCAAAACAGUUACGUAGCUUGCUAUGUGUGGACUCCUCUGAUGCAUGGGUACGUGGAUUUGGGCUGCGUACCCGUACCGGGUACGUACCCGGUACGAAUACGCGACGGGUACGCGUACGGUACGUACCCGGUACAAAAAAAAAAGAGGUUCCGGGCCAAAACGACAUCGUUUUGGCCAUUAAAAAAAAAAAAAAAACAGAUCAAAUCGCGUUUCAACAGAGAGAAAGGAAAACAGAAGGGUUUUGAAAGAGAAGAGGGUCCACGCCUCCACGGAACCAGAGAUAGGAAGCCCGCCGCCGGCCACCACCGUCCUCUCCAGCUGCGCCUCCGCCGUCCUCUCCACCGCCGGCCACCACCGCAGGUGGACUCCUUGCUGAUGAACUGGUUCAGAUGGCUUCUAUUUGUUCGCUUUCUUAUCCCAUGGGAUGCGUGGUUGAGUGAAAGCGGGGCUAUCACAGUUGCUUCUGGAAUUCUAUUUUGUUGCUUUGACAGCUUGUAACGAAGGAUAGUUGGCUCUUGAUCCGCGGCUUAGCAACGAAGGACAGCUUGGAAUUCUAUUUUGUGUUGCCUCUGUUUUAUUGCUUUGCACUAUCUGUUAUUUCUCUUUCUCUUUGAUUUUUGUACCAUUUAAUUGUUAGAGUUCAAUCUCAGAUUAAAAGAAUGAAUGGUGGGAGUUCAAAUGAGGAACGGGUCAAUGAUAAAAACACAAAAUCAUGGAAUAAAGUUGUAAUUUCCAACCUCCAAAAA